UACGGAUUCCAACUGAUGGUGAAGAUAAAUGAAGUACACCAAGUGAUUGAAUUUCUUCAAUUAUCGUCCAACUUUGAAUGUCAUCAUAAUCUUGUUUUACAGAGGCAGGAGUAUUGCUUUCAGAACUUGCACACGAUUUAUUACUAAGGACAGAAUUCCUUUUUUCAAUAACUGCUUCUUGCUGACUGAUCCAAAUUCUAAUAACUUCAUGGUAAGUUCGUAACAAGUACUCUGAACCCUUAACCAAUUUCCGAGAAA
Molecule: non-coding RNA, 258 nt
Organism: Schizosaccharomyces pombe (fission yeast)
Lineage: Eukaryota; Fungi; Ascomycota; Schizosaccharomycetes; Schizosaccharomycetales; Schizosaccharomycetaceae
Source: the annotation of a GenBank genome assembly